RNAcentral lists this unclassified non-coding RNA (432 nucleotides) under Hevea brasiliensis (rubber tree). The record is from RNAcentral. Lineage: Eukaryota; Viridiplantae; Streptophyta; Magnoliopsida; Malpighiales; Euphorbiaceae.
AUAUAUAUAUAUAUAUAUCCAAAAUUUUAGAAGCUGCUCGCAAAAGGAGAAUCGAAUAGCCUCAGCCCUCAGGUUAAGUUUUAAUUGGUGUUUACCUCAUUAUCUCCCUCCAAUAUUUCAUUUACACACAAUUCAUGCAAAUUGUCAUACAUUUUCUUCCACUUCUGAAGCAUUUGCGUAUAAUGCGUGCAAUCCAGCUUUAGUCUCUCCACCUCCAUUUCAGCUGCAGCAGCAGAACCUUGUUGCUUAAGUUCUUUGAUUUGAUUAUCAAUCACUUGACAGCUGAGGUAUGAAGCAUCUGGAGGACCAUUGUAAGAAGACUGGAGCCUAAUAACUGCAUUAAUUCCUGUGUUUUUGUCUGUUGAGUUCACAUAUUUAUCCAGUGGAGGUGGCAAUAAUGAUCCAUGCCUUCUUGAGGAAGCUUGCACAUUU